GUACUCUGGAAGAAAAGAAAAUACGUAAGUAAAUGAAACUGUGAAGUCAAAUAAGCAUGGCUUAUGCAGACAUGCGAUAGAGAUAGAGGAAGAAAAAAUAAUAAUCGUGGGCACCGAAUAUCAUAAGCUAAACACUAUUCAAAAACAAGUAGCUCAGCCAAUAUCGAAACUACUCUAUAAAUUUUAUAGUGAAUUUUUUUAUUUAAAACUCAAUGUGUCAGUUUUUGGUUUAA
Molecule: non-coding RNA, 233 nt
Organism: Hydra vulgaris (swiftwater hydra)
Lineage: Eukaryota; Metazoa; Cnidaria; Hydrozoa; Anthoathecata; Hydridae
Source: RefSeq, a predicted model, not a curated record